Gorilla gorilla gorilla (western lowland gorilla) is the source of this 413-nucleotide long non-coding RNA. RefSeq lists it as uncharacterized. Lineage: Eukaryota; Metazoa; Chordata; Mammalia; Primates; Hominidae. The record is from RefSeq and is a predicted model, not a curated record. The transcript has 2 exons.
CACACUCUCACCAGCCAUCGAAUCUGCUGGGGCUUCGAUCUUAGACUUCCCCACCUUCAGAACCAUGAACAACAAAUUUCUGUUUGUAAAUCACCCAGCCUAAGGUAUUUGGUUAAAGCAGUGGGAACAGACCAGACAUACCUCAGUGAUGGAAUCACGAAACGGUCAGGUCCUUGUACUCCUAAUGAGGAGAGUGAACAUGAAAUUUAUCAUCCAAACUGUGACACUUUUGAGAGAAGGGGAUACUAUUCAUUAUACUGGACAGCAGAUGUGAAUCAGGACUGUCCUAGAGAAACCAGAGGAUAUAAAAGAUCCAAUAAUGACAACUGCUAUGUUAUUCAUAAGAGUUCAUUCAUACAGGAGUUGUUUUCAUCCUUGUGUUUCAUGAAUAAAGGGUCAAUCAAGUCAACAAA